AGCAAUCCUCGACAAAAUCGGCUGUCUACAGACUAUCCUAAGCCUGAAAUGGGUGAGAAUAAGGGGUGAGUUUUUAUAAACCCAAUGAGUAAGCAAAAUUCAUCUAUAACAUUUAAAGCCGAGUAAAUGGAGACAGUUAAAUCAUCCUAUCAUAAUAUAGUUCAUAACAUUCAAAACUCGUUUCAAUUCCUAUAAAACAAUUACAUUUCAUCAAAAUAAUCAACAAGGCUUAUGAUUCUUUUAAAAAAUUAGCUUGUGCCAAAACUCAUACUCCGUGACACCUUGGCCCGGGCAUCCAACCGAGUCCACCAAGGCUAUUAAAACGAUAUAUACACAUAAAACAUGUUUUUACGUUUUAAAAAUAUAGUCGUUCCUUGGCGUUGGCUGAGUUUCACUUUCACGUGGUGGUUUGGUGUGAAGUGAACUCUAAACCUUACCUUAGGAGAUACCCUCCGCAUCUCUCGUACUAAGGUAAAAUAUAACGGGGUUUACCGUGCCCCUCUAAUAGGCUGGUCCACGGAAACCCGCCCACUGCAGUAAGCUAAAUACAUAACCCACCAAAUCAAUAAAAUUUCGGCAAUAUAACAUGGCUAAUAUAGUACUAUCCAACCUAUCAAUGUAAGGCAAAACAAUUUAUAUAAUUCACAAAACCAAAAUUUCAGCCAUUCAUGCUACCACAAUUUCAUAACCCAUCAAUUCAAAUCAUGUAUAUAUAUAUAAUACGAAUGUAUAGCCUCCACUUACUCUAUUUGGAAAAUCAACAUUUAGUUUUAGAAUAAUUUAUAAAUCUCAUUCAUUUAACCAACAUUUAAAAUGUAAAACAUAAUAAUUUACAAAUUAAGUGCCUUAUUCUUUAAAAUCUUAAAACAAGUAUAAACCACUUUAGAUAAUUAAGAUGAACAUCUAAUUACUCACUAUAAUGGGAAUUUGGAGUGGUAGGAGUACUCAUAUUCUCGAUCCUCAAGCAUGAUAUCUUUGCCCUUAUCGGGGGGUUCAGCACCUAUCCAUAAUACACGAUACGUAAUUCAAUACAUUGGUGUCAAAUUGUUAUAAAACUAUUUCAGACUCUAUAUGAAUGCAUGAAGUUGAAUGAGAAAUGCUCGAAUAGUCACUUAAAUACGGUGUUCUACGUAGGUUCAAUUGUGAUCAAAAGGAAUUUGUAUUCGACCUAAUUCGAGCUAUACACCAUUGAUUUAACCAAAACACCCAAUUUAACUCCAAAUAUAUUCAUUUCACUUCCAAAAUUUCAAAUACACCUAAGUACCUCAAUGAGCUUAAUUGUGACUUAAUUCACCGUAACCGAAAUUCAUUCCAAUUUCGAUAUCCAACAUCAUAAUUCAUCAAUUCCUAGCUAAAUAACAUGAAUUACAACCAAAUCUAUCAUCAACAUGCCCUAUAGAAAAUUCGGCCAAAUGAGGGUGGUUGAAGAACAUGUGAUUUUCUUGCUUGUUUUUCCUUCCAAACAUCACAAAAUGACUAAAAACACUAGGAUAUCAUGAAAUCUAGCAAAAUUCAUCCCCAAAACUUCUCUCUCUAGGUUUGGCAAGCAAAGGUUCCCUCUUGAAAACUUAAAUUUCAGCCAUGGAGAAUGAAAAAGAAUGCAUGGGAAAGGUAGAUCACAAGCUAAAAUUAAAAAAUCUUACCUUUACUUGCUUGAUUCCUUGAAAUCCAACAAUUUCUCUUGAAUUUUUCUUUCCUAGGGUUUGUUCUUCUCUUUUUCUCUUUGUUCCCUUGCUUGGUCGGCCAUAAGGGUGUGAAUGUGAGGGUUUUAAGUGAGUUUAUAUAGGCAAUUAAAAUAAUAUUAAAGCUUGACACUUGUCACCUUUUAAUUAGUCCAUGUUUAAUAACUUAACAAUUAAGCAUUUCAUUCCCACCACAUAUAAUCUCACUUGAAAAAAUAAUGGGUGAAAUUCAUGGGUUUGACAAGUGUCAUGGUGGUGUAAAAUUUCAAAAAUUCCAAUUACGUCCUAGUGGACACAUAAAAUGACCGUUUUGCCCCUAUGUUCGAAAAAUGUCAAUUAAAAUUUUUCACUUCUCAAAUUCAAAUAAUGCUCUAAUUAAUCAAAUUUAGUCAAAAUAUCAUCCAACAUUCCAAUUUUACCCUUGGGUGGCAAAAUGACCAUUUUGCCCCUACGUUAUGAAAAUUCUCGAAUUAACUCCAAAUCAAUCCUCAAACUCCAAAUCACCAUAUUAAGACAUUCUAAGGUUCAAUAACUCUCAAAUGCAUCCUAAAAUAUGUAUUCAAGCUAGUUCGAGGUUUUAAUCGGCUUAAUUGUACCUCUAGGUACGAUACCGACUUUUAAUAAUUUUUCGAGGCAUCCAAGUAUGCAGACAUGUUAUCAAGUACAUGAAUGACAUGGCAAGUAUAUUAUAGAGCUGGGCUUGACAAAACCUCACGGUUCCUCUUGAUUGUGUGCAAAAUCAAGCCUUUCCUUCCUUUCUCUUUUUUCUUUCUUCUUUUUCUCCUUGGGUGAUGACUUAGCACAAACUUACCCUAAUGAACCAAUCAAAAGACAUGCAUUCUUAUUCUUCUUAUAUCAUUUGGCCACUUUGCCAUCUAAUGGUGCUUCAUGCACCAAUUUCCUUCCUUGUGCAUUGGCCCAAAAUCUAUCUUUAUUCUCUUUCCAUCCGCCACCUCACUCUCUCAUUCUUUCUUUCUUCAUUUUUUUAUUCCAUGCACCACCUUAUUCCUCCAAUCACAUUUCAUGCACACACUUUACCUUAUAUUUUAUCUAAUCAUUCAUUAAAUUAUUUAAGUCACAUGCACCCCACAUCUUUCUUUCCUCAUUUGGCCACCUAAUGCACCAAUCUCAUUUCAUGUAAAUAAAUUUAAGCUUAUUUUUCAUUUUACUUCACAUGGUGGGGGUCUCACAUGUUCCCCAUUAAGUUCCUUCUUUUUGCAUGCUAUAGUUUGCAUGUAAUAGUGAAUUUACAUGCACCUCUCAUUAUCCCACAUAAUUUAACUUCUUUGGUUAGUUAAUGUCUAUUUAGUUUCAAAUAUUGUAAUUUCACAUAAGUUCUCAACUUUUCCUUAUUUACCAUUCAACCCUUCAAACUUUUCAUCCAUUACAAUUGAGUCCUCAAUCCUUUCUUUUAAAUUCCAAUUUCCUUCUAUCUUUCUUCCUUUACCCUUGUACAAAUAAAAUAUCAAAUUUGCACUUCACCAAAAUGUCACCAUAAUAUUUAAAUAUAUACUUACCCACUCUUACUUUAUUAAAUAAAGGAACACGGGCCCCGCUUAUGUCAUUUUUCUUUGAAAUUCUUUCAUUCUUCUUCUCCUCCACUUAGAUUAGCCAUAUAGUCCUCCUUCAUGACUAAUUUCAAAAAUAGAUAAAAUAUUAAUAUUUUAAUAUUAUUUUAUUUUAAAAUUUUCCACUUCUCCUCGAGACCCAAAAUGUCUCACUUUGUCCCGGUUCACUUCUAAAUCACCUUUUAACUCGUUAAUUUAUCCUCGAUAAAAGUAUUAUUGUUUAAUUAUUAUUUUAAAAUUAUUUCCUCGCAUAUGGAAUAAUUUAUUCUAAAAUAUUCUUUUCGCCCAUCACCACUCUUUCACAUUUAAAUUUAUGUUAAUUGACCCUUUGUCUUAUCGAUAAGGUCGUAGUGCCUUCUAUGCGAAGGUACGGGGUGUUACGGUUUGCCCCACUUAAAUAGAAUUCAUCCCCAAAUUCACGUCGGUGUCGGUUAUUAAUCUCACUUCGUAUUUCAUUUCCUUCUUCAUAGAGAAUUUGAUUUACUCACUUCGUUUACUUUCAAUUCAACUAUAACACUUUACCAAGUUAGGGUCUGUAACUUACACCUUUUAUCAUUCUUGAAUCAAAACAACAGUACCCUUCAACAAUUGUUUUCUCUUACAACUAAGUUUCCAAGCAUGCCUUUAACUCCAUUACAAAUCUUAAACAUAUCUCAAUCUCAAUGUCAAACCUUCUUCUAUAAAAUAAUUAUGACGUCAUUUACAUGCUCAAUAGAAUGUUUGCAUAUUUAGGAAGUUCAAGAAAUCGUUAAAAGAUGAUAUUGCCCUAAUGGUACCAUUAAGUCAAUUAAGGCUCAAACUAAUUCAAAUAGGAAUUUUAAUGUGAAAUUAAGAGUUUCACAGUCUAGGAAUGAUUUAAAAUGGUGAUUUAGAGUUCGAGGAUCAAUUUGGAGUCAAAUCAAAAUUUUCACUAUCUAGAGCUAAAAUGGUCAUUUGCCACUUGGGGACAAAAUGAGAAUUUUUAGAAAAGAUUUUUUGGCCCCAUUUGACUUAUUGGAGUAUGAUUUGAGUAUUGGAGUAUGAUUUGAGGUUUAGAAGUGAAAAUUUUUAAUUUCGGUAUAAUUUGGAGUAUAAAGGUAAAAUGGUAAUUUUGCCACCUCGGGGGUAAAUCAAUAAAUUUUCACCCCCGACACUUGUCAAGAUCAAGGAAUUUUAUUCAUCAUGAAAAUGGAUAAACAUGAGAAAUGUGUGGUGGAGAAUUAAAGAAUUAAAAGUCAAAUAUUUAAAAUUUGAACCAAUAAGAAAAUGCCAUGUGUCAUGCUUUUAUUAUUUUAUUAUUUCUUUAUAAAAAGGCAUAAAAAUCAGCCCAUUUCUCCCAUAGUGAUCAGCCAAACCAGAAAAGAAGAGAAACCAAGGAAGAACAAACCCUAGGUGGGAAAAAUCAAAGAGAAAGUGUUAGAAUUCAAGGAUUUGAUCAAGCAAAGGUAAAAUUUCUUGAUUUUGACUUGUGAUCUACCUUUUCCAUGCAUUUCUCCUCAUUUUUCAUGGUUAAAUUACAUGUUUUCAUGAUGAAUUCAUGGCUGGUUGGAAUGGGUAUGGAGAGAGAGUGAUGUUAGAUUGAUUUGAUUUUAAGUUAUGUUAGUGUUUUUAGUUAGUUAAGCAUGUUUAGAAACAAAACAACAAGAAAAGAAUCCAGUUUUCCCAUGAACCUUCAAUGGUCGAACCCUAUGUGAAGUGUAAAAGUAAUGAAUUGAUUUUGUGAUCAAGUGAAUUGGCUGAAAAAUUGAUGAAAUGAUGAUUUAUGGUGAGAAAAUGGAAUAGGAAAACUUUUAGUGAUAAUGCACCACAAUGGCCAAAAUUUUCAAGAAGAAUUGUGAGGGUUGUUAGGCUGAAUUUUAGAUUAUUGAAAUUUUAUUUAGUGAAUUGAAAUAUUAGAAAUGAAAUGGAGCAAUUUGGAGUCAAAUCAGACACAAUUGUCAUUUAAUCGGGUAAUAGGCCAAAUUAGGUUAGCACCGCAUUUAAGCGGUAGUCGAAUAAGUUGCAUAUCAUAUCAUGCAUAUACACCGAGCCUGAAUUGAUUUUAUAAUGGUCAAGCAUUGAUGUGGUGAAUUAUGUAUUGUACAUUGUGGAUAGGUGGUGAGAAAAUUACACUGGUAAAAGUACAGAGAUUGUGCUUGGAAAUGGGGAUUAGGAGUACAUCGACUCUUAGAACUGUGAGUAAACUUAUUAUCGUCUUAAUUAUCUAGAGUAGUUUUAUACAAUUUUGUGAUUUUAUAGAAAAUGGGUUUAAAUGGUAAAUUGCUAUGUUUUAGGAGAAAUUGUGAUUUUAUAAAAUGAUUUUAUAAAUUUUCUGGAAAAUUGAAUACUGGUUUUGAAAAUAGAGUAAUUGGAGACUGCCUGUUUGUGUUAUAAAUUGUGUUUUAAAUUAUAUGGCUUAUAGCAAUAUGUGAGCAUGAAUGGCAAAGUCGGUAUUUGUAUCAAAAUUAUAUAUACUACAUAUUCAGCCUUGAGAGGCUAGAUUGCAAUAAAUUGCCAUGUCAUGCAGAUAAAGAUUUUAUAAAUCAGGUGGUAGAUAAAAUAAUCCAUAGUCACUGCAAUGGUGGGGGUUUUCGUGGACUGCCUAUGAGAAAGGCAUGGUAACCCAAUUAUAUAUUUACCUUCAGGGGGAGAUGUUGGAUGAAGUAUCUCCUGAGGUAAAGAUUUGCGUGCACUUCACGUGGACCACCGCGUGAGAGUGAGACUCAGCCAACACCAAGGCAUGGCUAGAAUUUCGAAUGUAAAGACAUUUAACAGCCUUGGUGAUCUCGGUCAGAUGCCUAGGCCAAGGCAUCCCUGGAAAUGAUUUUGGCAGGAGCCAAGUUUUGUGAGAUAUAUAAGCCAUGUUGAUUAAUUGAGUAAACUGAAUAUUCAUGUUAUGAAACAUAUAUUGGAAAAGAAUAUUUUAAUUCGUCUCCAUUUACUCGCCUUUAGAUAGUUUAAAUGGUGUAUGUUUACUCACUGGGAUUUUAUAAUCUUACCACCCUUAUUUCCUCACAUUUCAGGCUUGGAGAAUUCCAUAGUUAGCUGACUUUGACAAGGACCUUUAUUUGGACUUGAAUCGGCAAAAAUUGUAGGUUUUCAGCUUCCGAUACAUUUUUGUUAGAUGUGGGCCCAUGUGUCACUGUAAAAGUAAUUUUAUGCUUUGGUUAUUUGCUUUAUAGUAUAUAUGAAUAUAAUUAACUUUUACGUUAUAAGAAUUAUUUACCGAUAGCUUUAUAAAAAUUAUUUUACUAGAAAAUAGUUUAUUUUAUUGAAUAUUUUUAUUAUAUUCAAAUGGUCAAAUUUUCACUUCAAAUGAACGUUUUAG
This 6536-nucleotide long non-coding RNA is filed under the name Theobroma cacao (cacao). RNAcentral's name for it is "long non-coding RNA (TCAC_LNC005413)". The record is from RNAcentral. Lineage: Eukaryota; Viridiplantae; Streptophyta; Magnoliopsida; Malvales; Malvaceae.